RNAcentral lists this ribosomal RNA (878 nucleotides) under uncultured bacterium. RNAcentral describes it as "bacterial SSU rRNA". It matches the Rfam family "Bacterial small subunit ribosomal RNA", at positions 89 to 964 of the family's 1533-position model. The record is from RNAcentral.
UGACGAGUGGCGGACGGGUGAGUAAUGCUUGGGAACAUGCCUUUGCGAGGGGGAUAACCGUUGGAAACGACGGCUAAUACCGCAUAAUGACUGAGGCCCAAAGGGGGGAGUUUACUCCUCUCGCGCGAAGAGUGGCCCAAGUGAGAUUAGCUAGUUGGUGAGGUAAAGGCUCACCAAGGCGACGAUCUCUAGCUGUUCUGAGAGGAAGAUCAGCCACACUGGGACUGAGACACGGCCCAGACUCCUACGGGAGGCAGCAGUGGGGAAUAUUGCACAAUGGGGGAAACCCUGAUGCAGCCAUGCCGCGUGUGUGAAGAAGGCCUUCGGGUUGUAAAGCACUUUCAGUUGUGAGGAAAGGUUGUUGGUUAAUACCCAGCAGCUGUGACGUUAGCAACAGAAGAAGCACCGGCUAACUCCGUGCCAGCAGCCGCGGUAAUACGGAGGGUGCGAGCGUUAAUCGGAAUUACUGGGCGUAAAGCGCACGCAGGCGGAAUGUUAAGCUAGAAGUGAAAGCCCUGGGCUCAACCUGGGAAGGCCUUUUAGAACUGGCAUUCUAGAGUUUUGGAGAGGGGAGUGGAAUUCCACGUGUAGCGGUGAAAUGCGCAGAUAUGUGGAGGAACAUCAGUGGCGAAGGCGACUCUCUGGCCAAAGACUGACGCUCAUGUGCGAAAGUGUGGGUAGCGAACAGGAUUAGAUACCCUGGUAGUCCACACCGUAAACGCUGUCUACUAGCUGUGUGUGAUUUUAAAUUGUGCGUAGCGAAGCAAACGCGCUAAGUAGACCGCCUGGGGGAGUACGGCCGCAAGGUUAAAACUCAAAUGAAUUGACGGGGGCCCGCACAAGCGGUGGAGCAUGUGGUUUAAUUCGAUGCAACGCGA